GCCCUGCUGUGCCUUUAGUCCCAGCUACUCAGGAGGCUGAGGCUGGAGGAUUGCUUGAGCCCAGGAGUUCUGGGUUACAGUGUGCUGUGCUGAUCGGAUGUCUGCACUAAGUGCAGCAUCAAUAUGGUGACCUCCUGGGAACAGGAGACUCCCAGGUUGCCCAAGGAAACAGAGCAGGUCAAAACUCCCUUGUCGAUCAGUAGUGGGAUCACACCUUGGAACAGCCACUGCACUCCAGCCUGGGCAACAUAGUGAGACCCUGCCCCUC
Nomascus leucogenys (northern white-cheeked gibbon) is the source of this 268-nucleotide non-coding RNA. It matches the Rfam family "Metazoan signal recognition particle RNA". Rfam says of the family: The signal recognition particle (SRP) is a universally conserved ribonucleoprotein. It is involved in the co-translational targeting of proteins to membranes. Lineage: Eukaryota; Metazoa; Chordata; Mammalia; Primates; Hylobatidae. The record is from Rfam.